This 1146-nucleotide ribosomal RNA is filed under the name Enterococcus thailandicus. Its description in RNAcentral is "partial 23S ribosomal RNA". It matches the Rfam family "Bacterial large subunit ribosomal RNA", at positions 311 to 1461 of the family's 2925-position model. Lineage: Bacteria; Bacillati; Bacillota; Bacilli; Lactobacillales; Enterococcaceae. The record is from RNAcentral.
AUAUGGUAGUUUUUUCAGAUAAUCGAAUGACUUGGAAAAGUCAGUCAAAGAGGGUAAAAACCCCGUAGAUGAAAUUUGGAAGACACCUAGGAGGAUCCUGAGUACGGCGGAACACGAGGAAUUCCGUCGGAAUCCGGGAGGACCAUCUCCCAAGGCUAAAUACUCCCUAGUGACCGAUAGUGAACCAGUACCGUGAGGGAAAGGUGAAAAGCACCCCGGAAGGGGAGUGAAAUAGAACCUGAAACCGUGUGCCUACAACAAGUCAAAGCCCGUUAAUGGGUGAUGGCGUGCCUUUUGUAGAAUGAACCGGCGAGUUACGAUUGCAUGCGAGGUUAAGUCGAAGAGACGGAGCCGUAGCGAAAGCGAGUCUGAAUAGGGCGUUUGAGUAUGUAGUCGUAGACCCGAAACCAUGUGAUCUACCCAUGUCCAGGUUGAAGGUGCGGUAAAACGCACUGGAGGACCGAACCCACGUACGUUGAAAAGUGCGGGGAUGAGGUGUGGGUAGCGGAGAAAUUCCAAACGAACUUGGAGAUAGCUGGUUCUCUCCGAAAUAGCUUUAGGGCUAGCCUCGGAAUUGAGAAUGAUGGAGGUAGAGCACUGUUUGGACUAGGGGCCCAUCUCGGGUUACCGAAUUCAGAUAAACUCCGAAUGCCAUUCAUUCAUAUCCGGGAGUCAGACUGUGAGUGAUAAGAUCCAUAGUCGAAAGGGAAACAGCCCAGACCACCAGCUAAGGUCCCAAAAUAUAUGUUAAGUGGAAAAGGAUGUGGGGUUGCACAGACAACUAGGAUGUUGGCUCAGAAGCAGCCACCAUUUAAAGAGUGCGUAAUAGCUCACUAGUCGAGUGACCCUGCGCCGAAAAUGUACCGGGGCUAAACAUAUUACCGAAGCUGUGGAUAACACCUAUGGUGUUAUGGUAGGAGAGCGUUCUAAGGGCGUUGAAGGUAGAUCGUGAGGACUGCUGGAGCGCUUAGAAGUGAGAAUGCCGGUAUGAGUAGCGAAAGACAGGUGAGAAUCCUGUCCACCGAAUGACUAAGGUUUCCUGGGGAAGGCUCGUCCGCCCAGGGUUAGUCGGGACCUAAGCCGAGGCCGAAAGGCGUAGGCGAUGGAUAACAGGUUGAUAUUCCUGUACCCGUUGUUUUUGUUUGA